GGUGAGGCCUUUUCCUCUCAGAGGAGGGCCAGGUAAGAGGCCAAAAUUUGUAAGCCCCAGGGAAAGGAGAACUCACGUAUGGGCUGCUGCCAACUUCCCCCAACAGGCUACCCCGUAAUGCACCUAGUAACCUCGGGAUGAUCUCCACAGACCAGGAAGAAGGCUGUUUUAAACGUGAUACCCAGAAGGGCAAGUGGCUUUCAAACUCUUACAGAAGCCCAGUGUGGGAAAGGGAGGAAGCAGGGCAGUUCUGAGUGGAGCAAUGCAGGGAGAGGGACAGAGAACUGCCCAACAUCACACAGCAAGGGAGCGGAGGACAGAAUCAAAACUGUAUUCCCCGUCGCCUGAGGAUUCAUUUCCAGAGGGAUUUUAGAAGAUGAGACCCAUCAAGUGGAUGUCACAUUCGCCUUCUCCAUGACUCAAGCGUUCAGGCCAACAGGCCCACACCAAGGCCACUGGGACCCCCUCUGCCCUUCCAGGCUGCCCUCCACUCUUGGGUCCCCGGAGAGACAAGAGGACAGCCACAAAAAAGAAGCUGGCUUUUUCUGAAGCUCGAAAGAUGGUUAUCAGAGAAAGACCUUUGGUCCUGCCCUGCCUACAGCACUAGGAAAAGGACUGAAACACGUGUAAUUGAAAGCAUUAGAUGAAAGGAAAAGGCUCCCUUUCUUGAGCAUUUGCUGUGCACCAGGCAUAUUAUUCACCCACAUGGUGCCCGCUUGCGUUUGGUGGGAACUGUUUGUUUUUUGAGACAGGGUCUCUCUAUGUAGCUCAGGCUGGCCUCGAAAUCACAGUGAUCCUCCUGCCUCAGCCUCCCGAGUACAGGGAUUACAGGUGUGCACUACUACACCCGGCACUGCUGGGAACUUCUGUAACCAGGGCAGACAAGGCCCACCACUUGCAGCCUUUCUAAAUCUCAACUUCUUACCAGCUAAGUGUCCUCCAUAAUAGAGGAAAUGGGCUGAGUGAAAUGUCUUGCCCAGGGUCACACAGAAAAGACAUGGCAGGGUGUCAAAAAGUUAUAGAACAAGCAGGCUUCCAAAGCAGGCAGGGAAGGCUGUGGAGAAGGAUCUGCCAAGGUCACAGCAGUUUUUUGGGCAGCUGGCAUGGGCUGCUAAGGUGAUGGUAGAAUCUGCAGCCAAGCCACAGAAUCUGGCACAGGAAAUGCUCAGUCUGUGACCUCCAGCUGGAUAUGACAAUCUUGCUGGGGCCUUCUGGGUAAUUAGAGAGUGCUUCCUCAUGGGAGGCCAAAGUAGGAAAGCAGAGGAAGUGGACUUGACAGGCCUAAGAUGGGUCUCAGCUGGGCCAAUCACUGAUUAACCAUGUGGCCUUGAGCAAGUCAUUCCUCUCAUGAGCCUGUUUCCUCAUCUGCAAAAUGGAGAUAAGAAAAAUAGAGUGGAUUUCAUAGUCAGACUGGGAAGAUUAGUGAGCUACUCUAUGUAAUUGGGUGCAG
RNAcentral lists this long non-coding RNA (1450 nucleotides) under Heterocephalus glaber (naked mole-rat). RNAcentral's name for it is "lncRNA (ENSHGLG00100052295.1)". Lineage: Eukaryota; Metazoa; Chordata; Mammalia; Rodentia; Bathyergidae. The record is from RNAcentral.